AGCAGCCGCGGUAAUUCCAGCUCCAAUAGCGUAUAUUAAAGUUGUUGCAGUUAAAAAGCUCGUAGUUGAAUUUCGAGAUCAAUUUGUCGGUCGUGCCUCGGUACGUACUGGCAUUAUUGAUUUCUCCCUUCUGAAGAACCGCGAUGUCAUUAAUUUGGUGUCGUGGGGAAUCAGGACUGUUACUUUGAAAAAUUAGAGUGUUUAAAGCAGGCUCACGCUUGAAUACAUUAGCAUGGAAUAAUGAAAUAGGACGUUUGAUCCUAUUUUGUUGGUUUCUAGGAUUGACGUAAUGAUUAAUAGGGAUAGUUGGGGGCAUUAGUAUUCAAUUGUCAGAGGUGAAAUUCUUGGAUUUAUUGAAGACUAACUACUGCGAAAGCAUUUGCCAAGGGUGUUUUCAUUAAUCAAGAACGAAAGUUAGGGGAUCGAAGACGAUCAGAUACCGUCGUAGUCUUAACCAUAAACUAUGCCGACUAGGGAUCGGAUGAUGUUAAUUUUUAAUGACUCAUUCGGCGCCUUAACC
This 520-nucleotide ribosomal RNA is filed under the name uncultured Glomus. Its description in RNAcentral is "SSU rRNA". It matches the Rfam family "Eukaryotic small subunit ribosomal RNA", at positions 569 to 1093 of the family's 1831-position model. The record is from RNAcentral. Lineage: Eukaryota; Fungi; Glomeromycota; Glomeromycetes; Glomerales; Glomeraceae.